CCGCACGGGUGAGUAACACGUAUCCAACCUGCCGUCUACUCUUGGACAGCCUUCUGAAAGGAAGAUUAAUACAAGAUGGCAUCACGAGUCCGCAUGUUCACAUGAUUAAAGGUAUUCCGGUAGACGAUGGGGAUGCGUUCCAUUAGAUAGUAGGCGGGGUAACGGCCCACCUAGUCUUCGAUGGAUAGGGGUUCUGAGAGGAAGGUCCCCCACAUUGGAACUGAGACACGGUCCAA
RNAcentral lists this ribosomal RNA (236 nucleotides) under uncultured bacterium. RNAcentral describes it as "partial 16S ribosomal RNA". It matches the Rfam family "Bacterial small subunit ribosomal RNA", at positions 98 to 334 of the family's 1533-position model. The record is from RNAcentral.